This 443-nucleotide ribosomal RNA is filed under the name uncultured Sphingomonadaceae bacterium. RNAcentral's name for it is "bacterial SSU rRNA". It matches the Rfam family "Bacterial small subunit ribosomal RNA", at positions 337 to 797 of the family's 1533-position model. Lineage: Bacteria; Pseudomonadati; Pseudomonadota; Alphaproteobacteria; Sphingomonadales; Sphingomonadaceae. The record is from RNAcentral.
UCCUACGGGAGGCAGCAGUGGGGAAUAUUGGACAAUGGGCGAAAGCCUGAUCCAGCAAUGCCGCGUGAGUGAUGAAGGCCUUAGGGUUGUAAAGCUCUUUUACCAGGGAUGAUAAUGACAGUACCUGGAGAAUAAGCUCCGGCUAACUCCGUGCCAGCAGCCGCGGUAAUACGGAGGGAGCUAGCGUUGUUCGGAAUUACUGGGCGUAAAGCGCACGUAGGCGGCUACUCAAGUCGGGGGUGAAAGCCCGGGGCUCAACCCCGGAACUGCCCGCGAAACUAGGUAGCUAGAAUCUUGGAGAGGUCAGUGGAAUUCCGAGUGUAGAGGUGAAAUUCGUAGAUAUUCGGAAGAACACCAGUGGCGAAGGCGACUGACUGGACAAGUAUUGACGCUGAGGUGCGAAAGCGUGGGGAGCAAACAGGAUUAGAUACCCUUGUAGUCAU